GAAGGGAUAAGCGCUGAAAGCAUCUAAGUGCGAAGCCCACCUCAAGAUGAGAUGUCCCAUGAUUUUAUAUCAGUAAGAGCCCUGAGAGAUGAUCAGGUAGAUAGGUUAGGAGUGUAAUUGUGGUGACACAUUUAGCGGACUAAUACUAAUAGCUCGAGGACUUAUCCAAAA
This 171-nucleotide ribosomal RNA is filed under the name Streptococcus agalactiae GB00909. RNAcentral's name for it is "partial 23S ribosomal RNA". It matches the Rfam family "Bacterial large subunit ribosomal RNA", at positions 2758 to 2925 of the family's 2925-position model. Lineage: Bacteria; Bacillati; Bacillota; Bacilli; Lactobacillales; Streptococcaceae. The record is from RNAcentral.